CAGUAGCCGCGGGAAUACGAAGGGGGCUAGCGUUGCUCGGAAUGACUGGGCGUAAAGGGCGCGUAGGCGGCGAUCAAAGUCAGGCAUGAAAUUCCUGGGCUCAACCUGGGGGCUGCGUUUGAUACUUGAUUGCUAGAGUGGGGAAGAGGGUCGUGGAAUUCCCAGUGUAGAGGUGAAAUUCGUAGAUAUUGGGAAGAACACCGGUGGCGAAGGCGGCGACCUGGUCCUUGACUGACGCUGAGGCGCGAAAGCGUGGGGAGCAAACAGGAUUAGAUACCCGCGUAGUCCCUGUCUCUUAUAC
Molecule: ribosomal RNA, 301 nt
Filed under: uncultured bacterium
Lineage: Bacteria
Description: partial 16S ribosomal RNA
Rfam family: Bacterial small subunit ribosomal RNA
Source: RNAcentral